RNAcentral lists this ribosomal RNA (465 nucleotides) under Vreelandella stevensii. RNAcentral's name for it is "partial 16S ribosomal RNA". It matches the Rfam family "Bacterial small subunit ribosomal RNA", at positions 338 to 795 of the family's 1533-position model. Lineage: Bacteria; Pseudomonadati; Pseudomonadota; Gammaproteobacteria; Oceanospirillales; Halomonadaceae. The record is from RNAcentral.
CCUACGGGGAGCAGCAGUGGGGAAUAUUGGACAAUGGGCGAAAGCCUGAUCCAGCCAUGCCGCGUGUGUGAAGAAGGCCUUCGGGUUGUAAAGCACUUUCAGUGGGGAAGAAAGCCUUGGGGCUAAUACCCUCGAGGAAGGACAUCGCCCACAGAAGAAGCACCGGCUAACUCCGUGCCAGCAGCCGCGGUAAUACGGAGGGUGCGAGCGUUAAUCGGAAUUACUGGGCGUAAAGCGCGCGUAGGCGGUCUGAUAAGCCGGUUGUGAAAGCCCCGGGCUCAACCUGGGAACGGCAUCCGGAACUGUCAGGCUAGAGUGCAGGAGAGGAAGGUAGAAUUCCCGGUGUAGCGGUGAAAUGCGUAGAGAUCGGGAGGAAUACCAGUGGCGAAGGCGGCCUUCUGGACUGACACUGACGCUGAGGUGCGAAAGCGUGGGUAGCAAACAGGAUUAGAUACCCGGGUAGUC